Molecule: ribosomal RNA, 490 nt
Filed under: uncultured bacterium
Lineage: Bacteria
Description: partial 16S ribosomal RNA
Rfam family: Bacterial small subunit ribosomal RNA
Source: RNAcentral
AUUGAACGCUGGCGGCAGGCCUAACACAUGCAAGUCGAACGGUAACAGGAAGAAGCUUGCUUCUUUGCUGACGAGUGGCGGACGGGUGAGUAAUGUCUGGGAAACUGCCUGAUGGAGGGGGAUAACUACUGGAAACGGUAGCUAAUACCGCAUAACGUCGCAAGACCAAAGAGGGGGACCUUCGGGCCUCUUGCCAUCGGAUGUGCCCAGAUGGGAUUAGCUAGUAGGUGGGGUAACGGCUCACCUAGGCGACGAUCCCUAGCUGGUCUGAGAGGAUGACCAGCCACACUGGAACUGAGACACGGUCCAGACUCCUACGGGAGGCAGCGGUGGGGAAUAUUGCACAAAGGGCGCAAGCCUGAUGCAGCCAUGCCGCGUGUAUGAAGAAGGCCUUCGGGUUGUAAAGUACUUUCAGCGGGGAGGAAGGGAGUAAAGUUAAUACCUUUGCUCAUUGACGUUACCCGCAGAAGAAGCACCGGCUAACUCCGUG